RNAcentral lists this ribosomal RNA (386 nucleotides) under uncultured soil bacterium. Its description in RNAcentral is "bacterial SSU rRNA". It matches the Rfam family "Bacterial small subunit ribosomal RNA", at positions 26 to 405 of the family's 1533-position model. The record is from RNAcentral.
AGAGUGAACGCUGGCGGUAGGCCUAACACAUGCAAGUCGAACGGCAGCACAGUAGGAGCUUGCUCUUACGGGUGGCGAGUGGCGGACGGGUGAGGAAUACAUCGGAACCUACCGUUUUGGUGGGGGAUAACGUAGGGAAACUUACGCUAAUACCGCAUACGCCCUUCGGGGGAAAGCCGGGGACCAGCAAUGGCCUGGCGCUGAUAGAUGAGCCGAUGUCGGAUUAGCUAGUUGGUGAGGUAAUGGCUCACCAAGGCGACGAUCCGUAGCUGGUCUGAGAGGAUGAUCAGCCACACUGGAACUGAGACACGGUCAGACUCCUAGGGAGCAGCAGUGGGAAUAGUGGACAAGUGGGCGCAAGCCUGACUCCAGCCAUACCGCGUGGU